This is a long non-coding RNA of Triplophysa rosa, 354 nucleotides long. RefSeq lists it as uncharacterized. The record is from RefSeq and is a predicted model, not a curated record. The transcript is spliced from 3 exons. NCBI's taxonomy places the organism in Eukaryota, Metazoa, Chordata, Actinopteri, Cypriniformes, Nemacheilidae.
UAGAAUAACAUCUCUAAAGCAUACAGAGCAGUCAGUUCACAAAUAGCUCUCACUGUGCUUUGAUGUCGCCGAUCAGUCUGCGAUCAAACAUCAGUGGCACGAGUGUUCACCGGUGUUGUUCCGCUCGCGCGGAAUUCAAAAUAACGGAUCGCAACAACCUCUCGACUGUCCCAUUGGAUAAUUUUCAGUAUUUUCCAGUUGAGCAGCAAAAAAAUGGGCAACCAAGGCCAACAGACCCAGCCCACCCUGAUGCUCAUCCUUGCACUGCCUGGGACACCUAAGGCCAACAGGCGCAGCUCCUGUUCUCUUUUUGCCAUAAAUACAUAUCUACUGUAGCAAUGCAAAAUUGUGAAA